RNAcentral lists this ribosomal RNA (468 nucleotides) under uncultured bacterium. Its description in RNAcentral is "partial 16S ribosomal RNA". It matches the Rfam family "Bacterial small subunit ribosomal RNA", at positions 28 to 507 of the family's 1533-position model. The record is from RNAcentral.
GACGAACGCUGGCGGCGUGCUUAACACAUGCAAGUCGAACGGAAAGGCCCUGCUUUUGUGGGGUGCUCGAGUGGCGAACGGGUGAGUAACACGUGAGUAACCUGCCCUUGACUUUGGGAUAACUUCAGGAAACUGGGGCUAAUACCGGAUAGGAGCUCCUGCUGCAUGGUGGGGGUUGGAAAGUUUCGGCGGUUGGGGAUGGACUCGCGGCUUAUCAGCUUGUUGGUGGGGUAGUGGCUUACCAAGGCUAUGACGGGUAGCCGGCCUGCGAGGGUGACCGGCCACAUUGGGACUGAGAUACGGCCCAGACUCCUACGGGAGGCAGCAGUGGAGAGUAUAGCACAAUGGGAGGAAGCCUGAUGCAGCAACGCCGCGUGCGGGAUGACGGCCUUCGGGUUGUAAACCGCUUUCGCCUGUGACGAAGCGUGAGUGACGGUAAUGGGUAAAGAAGCACCGGCUAACUACGUG